UACGUAGGGUCCGAGCGUUGUCCGGAGUUACUGGGCGUAAAGCGCGCGCAGGCGGCGGUGCUGGCCCGGCGUGAAAGCCCCCGGCUUAACCGGGGAGGGUCGUUGGGGACGGCGGGGCUUGAGGGCGGGAGAGGUCGGUGGAAUUCCCGGUGUAGUGGUGAAAUGCGUAGAGAUCGGGAGGAACACCUGUGGCGAAGGCGGCCGACUGGGCCGACCCUGACGCUGAGGCGCGAAGGCGUGGGGAGCGAACGGG
RNAcentral lists this ribosomal RNA (253 nucleotides) under uncultured bacterium. RNAcentral describes it as "partial 16S ribosomal RNA". It matches the Rfam family "Bacterial small subunit ribosomal RNA", at positions 524 to 776 of the family's 1533-position model. The record is from RNAcentral.